RNAcentral lists this non-coding RNA (27 nucleotides) under Cricetulus griseus (Chinese hamster). Lineage: Eukaryota; Metazoa; Chordata; Mammalia; Rodentia; Cricetidae. The record is from RNAcentral.
UAGCCAGGGAAAGAUAUAUUCUGAAAG